ACGUAGGGUGCGAGCGUUGCCCGGAUUUAUUGGGCGUAAAGGGCGCGUAGGCGGCUCGGCACGUCCGUUGUGAAAUCGCCCGGCUCAACUGGGCGGGGUCAGCGGAUACGGUCGAGCUUGAGCAAGCUAGGGGGCAAUGGAAUUCCCGGUGUAGUGGUGGAAUGCGUAGAUAUCGGGAGGAACACCAGUGGCGAAGGCGGUUGCCUGGAGCUUUGCUGACGCUGAUGCGCGAAAGCUAGGGGAGCAAACAGGA
RNAcentral lists this ribosomal RNA (253 nucleotides) under uncultured prokaryote. RNAcentral's name for it is "partial 16S ribosomal RNA". It matches the Rfam family "Bacterial small subunit ribosomal RNA", at positions 525 to 777 of the family's 1533-position model. The record is from RNAcentral.